CAGUAGCCGCGGGAAUACGAAGGGUGCAAGCGUUAAUCGGAAUUACUGGGCGUAAAGCGUGCGUAGGCGGUGAGUUAAGUCUGCUGUGAAAUCCCCGGGCUCAACCUGGGAAUGGCAGUGGAUACUGGCUCGCUAGAGUGUGUCAGAGGAUGGUGGAAUUCCCGGUGUAGCGGUGAAAUUCGCAGAUAUUCGGAAGAACACCAGUGGCGAAGGCGACACACUGGCCCGUUACUGACGCUGAGGCGCGAAAGCGUGGGGAGCAAACAGGAUUAGAGACCCCGGUAGUCCCUGUCUCUUAUAC
RNAcentral lists this ribosomal RNA (301 nucleotides) under uncultured bacterium. RNAcentral describes it as "partial 16S ribosomal RNA". It matches the Rfam family "Bacterial small subunit ribosomal RNA", at positions 509 to 807 of the family's 1533-position model. The record is from RNAcentral.